Molecule: long non-coding RNA, 345 nt
Filed under: Salmo trutta (river trout)
Lineage: Eukaryota; Metazoa; Chordata; Actinopteri; Salmoniformes; Salmonidae
Description: lncRNA (ENSSTUG00000005816.1)
Source: RNAcentral
AAAGACUCCUGUUAUGCAACUACUGACCUACUAACAUACAAUUGGAGACAUUUAGAGAGCGAGGAGGAAAUUGUAGCAAGUCCCUAACGUAAUAAGAUAACAGAUUCAAAAUAAGCGACACAGAAUUCAUGCUCACAUACAGACACUAAUCACAGAGCUCGCACUGUACUUGAAGGACGAUCGCAAAUUUGAAUUCGAUAGAAGUCGGAAAUAGGAAUUGUUGAACAAGCGUGGCUGUUAUAUUAGACUUCGCACUGUGGUCUUUUAUUUACACAUACAAGCCUUUCUUCUUGCAACCUACUGGAGAAGGAGAGAGGAGGCAGCGCUCCUCCCAAGAGACUGACA